Molecule: small RNA, 860 nt
Filed under: Pongo abelii (Sumatran orangutan)
Lineage: Eukaryota; Metazoa; Chordata; Mammalia; Primates; Hominidae
Description: retained intron
Source: RNAcentral
AGGCCUGAGUCACCACACCCAGCCAGGCCAACAGUUUAUUAAGAAGGUAAAUAGAUAUAGACAAGUAUAAUUAAUAGAAAAUAGCCUAAACUGUCUCAGAUAUUUCCUGUCUUAAUUUGAUCAAAAAUUGCUAGGAAGGAAAAAAAAAAAAAAACACACACAAAAACCAAACCAGAUUACUUAGGAGUCCUAAGUAAUCUAGUAACAGUUUGAGGGGAAUUAAACAGAUAGGCAUUUUUAUUUCAUUUAAAUCUUACUAUCAACUAUUCUUAACAGGCUAAAGGUUGGUCUUCAGGUUGUGGCAGUCAAGGCUCCAGGCUUUGGUGACAAUAGAAAGAACCAGCUUAAAGAUAUGGCUAUUGCUACUGGUGGUGCAGUGUUUGGAGAAGAGGGGUUGACCCUGAAUCUUGAAGACGUUCAGCCUCAUGACUUAGGAAAAGUUGGAGAGGUCAUUGUGACCAAAGACGACGCCAUGCUCUUAAAAGGAAAAGGUGACAAGGCUCAAAUUGAAAAACGUAUUCAAGAAAUCAUUGAGCAGUUAGAUGUCACAACUAGUGAAUAUGAAAAGGAAAAACUGAAUGAACGGCUUGCAAAACUUUCAGAUGGAGUAGCUGUGCUGAAGGUUGGUGGGACAAGUGAUGUUGAAGUGAAUGAAAAGAAAGACAGAGUUACAGAUGCCCUUAAUGCUACAAGAGCUGCUGUUGAAGAAGGCAUUGUUUUGGGAGGGGGUUGCGCCCUGCUUCGAUGCAUUCCAGCCUUGGACUCAUUGACUCCAGCUAAUGAAGAUCAAAAAAUUGGUAUAGAAAUUAUUAAAAGAACACUCAAAAUUCCAGCAAUGACCAUUGCUAAGAAUGCAGGUG